GGGCGUGUGGCGCAGCUGGUAGCGCGUUCGCUUCGCAUGUGAAAGGUCUUCGGUUCGACUCCGGACUCGUCCA
Molecule: non-coding RNA, 73 nt
Organism: Candidozyma duobushaemuli
Lineage: Eukaryota; Fungi; Ascomycota; Pichiomycetes; Serinales; Metschnikowiaceae
Source: the annotation of a RefSeq genome assembly